RNAcentral lists this ribosomal RNA (459 nucleotides) under uncultured bacterium. Its description in RNAcentral is "partial 16S ribosomal RNA". It matches the Rfam family "Bacterial small subunit ribosomal RNA", at positions 338 to 795 of the family's 1533-position model. The record is from RNAcentral.
CCUACGGGAGGCAGCAGUGAGGAAUAUUGGUCAAUGGGCGGGAGCCUGAACCAGCCAAGUCGCGUGAAGGAAGAAGGUACUUAGUAUUGUAAACUUCUUUUGUCGGGGAACAAAGGCGGAGACGCGUCUCCGGAUGAGUGUACCCGAAGAAAAAGCAUCGGCUAACUCCGUGCCAGCAGCCGCGGUAAUACGGAGGAUGCGAGCGUUAUCCGGAUUUAUUGGGUUUAACGGGUGCGCGGGCGGGAGGUAAAGUCAGAGGUAAAAUGUCGGGGCUAAACCCCGGACGGCAGUUGAAACUGGGUGUCUAGAGUUGGAGAGAAGUAGGCGGAAGUCGUGGUGUAGCGGUGAAAUGCAGAGAUAUCACGAAGAACUCCGAUUGCGAAGGCAGCAUACCGGCUCCAUACUGACGCUGAGGCACGAAAGCGUGGGGAUCGAACAGGAUUAGAUACCCUUGUAGUC